CAAGCAUGGAGCGGCUUUGGGGUCUAUUCCAGAGAGCGCAACAACUGUCCCCAAGAUCCUCUCAGACCGUCUACCAGCGUGUGGAAGGCCCCCGGAAAGGGCACCUGGAGGAGGAAGAGGAAGACGGGGAGGAGGGGGCGGAGACAUUGGCCCACUUCUGCCCCAUGGAGCUGAGGGGCCCUGAGCCCCUGGGCUCUAGACCCAGGCAGCCAAAUCUCAUUCCCUGGGCGGCAGCAGGACGGAGGGCUGCCCCCUACCUGGUCCUGACGGCCCUGCUGAUCUUCACUGGGGCCUUCCUACUGGGCUACGUCGCCUUCCGAGGGUCCUGCCAGGCGUGCGGAGACUCUGUGUUGGUGGUCAGUGAGGAUGUCAACUAUGAGCCUGACCUGGAUUUCCACCAGGGCAGACUCUACUGGAGCGACCUCCAGGCCAUGUUCCUGCAGUUCCUGGGGGAGGGGUGCCUGGAGGACACCAUCAGGCAAACCAGCCUUCGGGAACGGGUGGCAGGCUCGGCCGGGAUGGCCGCUCUGACUCAGGACAUUCGCGCGGCGCUCUCCCGCCAGAAGCUGGACCACGUGUGGACCGACACGCACUACGUGGGGCUGCAAUUCCCGGACCCGUGAGUGCGCGCGCGGGCGGGGAGCGCGCGGGGAGGGGGACGCGGCUCGGGGCGCUCACCAGCCCCGCUCCCCAGGGCUCACCCCAACACCCUGCACUGGGUCGAUGAGGCCGGGAAGGUCGGAGAGCAGCUGCCGCUGGAGGACCCUGACGUCUACUGCCCCUACAGCGCCAUCGGCAACGUCACGGGAGAGCUGGUGUACGCCCACUACGGGCGGCCCAAAGACCUGCAGGACCUGCGGGCCAGGGGCGUGGACCCAGUGGGCCGCCUGCUGCUGGUGCGCGUGGGGGUGAUCAGCUUCGCCCAGAAGGAAGCUCAAAGGCCCUGUGGCCCCCCAAGAAUGGCAGGGGAGCCUCCUAGGCUCCCCUUAUCACCUGGGCCCUGGGCCACGACUGCGGCUAGUGGUCAACAAUCACAGGACCUCCACCCCCAUCAACAACAUCUUCGGCUGCAUCGAAGGCCGCACAGAGCCAGAUCACUACGUUGUCAUCGGGGCCCAGAGGGAUGCAUGGGGCCCAGGAGCAGCUAAAUCCGCUGUGGGGACGGCUAUACUCCUGGAGCUGGUGCGGACCUUUUCCUCCAUGGUGAGCAACGGCUUCCGGCCCCGCAGAAGUCUCCUCUUCAUCAGCUGGGACGGUGGUGACUUUGGAAGCGUGGGCUCCACGGAGUGGCUAGAGGUGAUACGGGGUCCCGGGCAGGUCGUUAGGCAUUGGGGAGAGGUGGGGGUGGGGGGUUCCCACUCCACACUGGUCACCCACCCACAGGGCUACCUCAGCGUGCUGCACCUCAAAGCUGUAGUGUACGUGAGCCUGGACAACGCAGUGCUGGGGGAUGACAAGUUUCAUGCCAAGACCAGCCCCCUUCUGACAAGUCUCAUUGAGAGUGUCCUGAAGCAGGUGGAUUCUCCCAACCACAGUGGGCAGACUCUCUAUGAACAGGUGGUGUUCACCAAUCCCAGCUGGGAUGCUGAGGUGAUCCGGCCCCUACCCAUGGACAGCAGUGCCUAUUCCUUCACGGCCUUUGUGGGAGUCCCUGCCGUCGAGUUCUCCUUUAUGGAGGUGAGACGUCCUCCCCCUGCCCCAGACACAGCGCUAGUCCUUCAGCCUGUCUGCCUCUGCCCCAGCGUCCACCCUGUCCUGGCAGGACGACCAGGCCUACCCGUUCCUGCACACAAAGGAGGACACUUAUGAGAACCUGCAUAAGGUGCUGCAAGGCCGCCUGCCCGCCGUGGCCCAGGCCGUGGCCCAGCUCGCAGGGCAGCUCCUCAUCCGGCUCAGCCACGAUCGCCUGCUGCCCCUCGACUUCGGCCGCUACGGGGACGUCGUCCUCAGGCACAUCGGGAACCUCAACGAGUUCUCUGGGGACCUCAAGGCCCGCGGGCUGACCCUGCAGUGGGUGUACUCGGCGCGGGGGGACUACAUCCGGGCGGCGGAAAAGCUGCGGCAGGAGAUCUACAGCUCGGAGGAGAGAGACGAGCGACUGACACGCAUGUACAACGUGCGCAUAAUGCGGGUGGAGUUCUACUUCCUUUCCCAGUACGUGUCGCCAGCCGACUCCCCGUUCCGCCACAUCUUCAUGGGCCGUGGAGACCACACGCUGGGCGCCCUGCUGGACCACCUGCGGCUGCUGCGCUCCAACAGCUCUGGGACCCCCGGGGCCACCUCCUCCACUGGCUUCCAGGAGAGCCGCUUCCGGCGUCAGCUAGCCCUGCUCACCUGGACGCUGCAAGGGGCAGCCAAUGCGCUUAGCGGGGAUGUCUGGAACAUUGAUAACAACUUCUGAGGCCCUGGGGAUCCUCACAUCCCCGUCCCCCAGUCAAGAGCUCCUCUGCUCCUCGCUUGAAUGAUUCAGGGUCAGGGAGGUGGCUCAGAGUCCACCUCUCAUUGCUGAUCAAUUUCUCAUUACCCCUACACAUCUCUCCACAGAGCCCAGACCCCAGCACAGAUAUCCACACACCCCAGCCCUGCAGUGUAGCUGACCCUAAUGUGACGGUCAUACUGUCGGUUAAUCAGAGAGUAGCAUCCCUUCAAUCACAGCCCCUUCCCCUUUCUGGGGUCCUCCAUACCUAGAGACCACUCUGGGAGGUUUGCUAGGCCCUGGGACCUGGCCAGCUCUGUUAGUGGGAGAGAUCGCUGGCACCAUAGCCUUAUGGCCAACAGGUGGUCUGUGGUGAAAGGGGCAUGGAGUUUCAAUAUCAAUAAACCACCUGAUAUCAAUAA
This 2838-nucleotide small RNA is filed under the name Pan troglodytes (chimpanzee). RNAcentral's name for it is "retained intron". Lineage: Eukaryota; Metazoa; Chordata; Mammalia; Primates; Hominidae. The record is from RNAcentral.